AUUCAGCUGACGUGUUCCAAAUAGGACGAAACGCACAUCGUGGAU
Schistosoma margrebowiei is the source of this 45-nucleotide non-coding RNA. NCBI's taxonomy places the organism in Eukaryota, Metazoa, Platyhelminthes, Trematoda, Strigeidida, Schistosomatidae. The record is from Rfam.